UCCAAAUCCUUUCUAAGUGAAAUGCUCCCUGCCUUGCCCUGGUCUCCAAUUUUUCAGAUAAAUCCAUCCCCAAGGAAACAGUGUCACCAGCUUAAUAAAAUGUACUUUCUUCUUUUUUUGGCUGCAUUUUACCAAAAUGAGUGAUUCAAUUCCUUAGGAAAGAUUGCUACUAGUGUUACACUGUCUGAUGACUGGGAAUCCCGCUUGCGAUUGUUCUGGGACCAACAGAUGGUGAGGAAUCGAACUCAGGACCUUUCACUUACCAGGCAGGCACUUGUGCCACUGAGAUAUAUUCCUGGUUGUUUGUAUGAAUAAUUCAAGCAACGCAUGCUAUUAGAGAAGACCCAGGAGCUGUGCUUUGGAAGAUCAUGAAGGCCGUGUUUUAGAGCAAGAGAGAGAAACCCGUGAUUUUGGAGAUGGAAGCUGGCAGCUGGAGCCACAGCCCCACCUCUCAGCUGGCAAAACACAUUGUGUGCUCCCUGGCAGCAGAAAGAGAUGGGACUGUUUGUGUCCAGAGUGGAAAGUUGCACUUUUAGGUGGAGCAAACACACCUUGGCAGGCCGCAUCUGCAGCAAGAGGAGGUGAGGCAGGUUGUCUACAAAGUCUGGGGACUAAAUAAAAAGUGGAUGAAGACCAGAAGUCAUUCUCCAGACAGCUAAUAAAGCAUCGGUGCUUUUACAUUUGUGAGGCAUACAUCCUGUGACCUUUGAAAAUACCCAACUUUGCAAAUUCAAUUGUAAUAUGUAGUUGUCCCCUAAAAUGCAAUAAAGUAUAACUGAAUAUGUAACUGACCUCUUCACAUCAUUAAUGCUUUUAUGCAAAAGGAAUAAAGUAAUUUAGAAAGCUGUGAAAAUACCACCAUUGCUGAAACAUUCACAAAUCACUUUCACAGGUUUCUGCGCGUAUCCCGCCCUGUAACUGCCCGCGCUGUAUAUUAGAGUACCUGCCAAGCUUUCUAAUCCUUAUUCUAUCUGUACUAGCAUAUCAUAAAGUCACAGAAGGAUGUCAUUACUUCAGAAUAACAAGUCCGAU
This 1032-nucleotide long non-coding RNA is filed under the name Chinchilla lanigera (long-tailed chinchilla). Its description in RNAcentral is "lncRNA (ENSCLAG00000026147.1)". The record is from RNAcentral. Lineage: Eukaryota; Metazoa; Chordata; Mammalia; Rodentia; Chinchillidae.